Molecule: ribosomal RNA, 301 nt
Filed under: uncultured bacterium
Lineage: Bacteria
Description: partial 16S ribosomal RNA
Rfam family: Bacterial small subunit ribosomal RNA
Source: RNAcentral
CAGUCGCCGCGGUAAUACGUAGGGUGCGAGCGUUGUCCGGAAUUACUGGGCGUAAAGAGCUCGUAGGCGGUUUGUCGCGUCGUCUGUGAAAUUCUGCAGCUUAACUGUAGGCGUGCAGGCGAUACGGGCAGACUUGAGUACUACAGGGGAGACUGGAAUUCCUGGUGUAGCGGUGAAAUGCGCAGAUAUCAGGAGGAACACCGGUGGCGAAGGCGGGUCUCUGGGUAGUAACUGACGCUGAGGCACGAAAGCGUGGGGAGCAAACAGGAUUAGAUACCCCAGUAGUCCCUGUCUCUUAUAC